AGAAUCAACGCUGGCGGCGUGCCUAACACAUGCAAGUCGAACGAGAAAGUGGAGCAAUCCAUGAGUAAAGUGGCGCACGGGUGAGUAACACGUGACUAACCUACCCUUGAGUGGGGGAUAACCUAGGGAAACCUGGGCUAAUACCGCAUAAUACCUUCGGGUCAAAGGAGCAAUUCGCUUAAGGAGGGGUCGCGGCCGAUUAGUUAGUUGGCGGGGUAAUGGCCCACCAAGACGAUGAUCGGUA
RNAcentral lists this ribosomal RNA (244 nucleotides) under uncultured bacterium. Its description in RNAcentral is "partial small subunit ribosomal RNA". It matches the Rfam family "Bacterial small subunit ribosomal RNA", at positions 26 to 285 of the family's 1533-position model. The record is from RNAcentral.